Molecule: ribosomal RNA, 412 nt
Filed under: Vibrio sp. 1004
Lineage: Bacteria; Pseudomonadati; Pseudomonadota; Gammaproteobacteria; Vibrionales; Vibrionaceae
Description: bacterial SSU rRNA
Rfam family: Bacterial small subunit ribosomal RNA
Source: RNAcentral
UGGGCGUCGAGCGGCGGACGGGUGAGUAAUGCCUAGGAAAUUGCCUUGAUGUGGGGGAUAACCAUUGGAAACGAUGGCUAAUACCGCAUAAUGCCUACGGGCCAAAGAGGGGGAUCUUCGGACCUCUCGCGUCAAGAUAUGCCUAGGUGGGAUUAGCUAGUUGGUGAGGUAAUGGCUCACCAAGGCGACGAUCCCUAGCUGGUCUGAGAGGAUGAUCAGCCACACUGGAACUGAGACACGGUCCAGACUCCUACGGGAGGCAGCAGUGGGGAAUAUUGCACAAUGGGCGAAAGCCUGAUGCAGCCAUGCCGCGUGUAUGAAGAAGGCCUUCGGGUUGUAAAGUACUUUCAGUUGUGAGGAAGGGUGUGUAGUUAAUAGCUGCGCAUGCUUGACGUUAGCAACAGAAGAAGCA